GGGAGGUAGUGACAAUAAAUAACAAUACGGGGUUCUUUCGGAUCUCGUAAUUGGAAUGAGUACAAUUUAAAUCUCUUAACGAGGAACAAUUGGAGGGCAAGUCUGGUGCCAGCAGCCGCGGCAAUUCCAGCUCCAAUAGCGUAUAUUAAAGUUGUUGCAGUUAAAAAGCUCGUAGUUGAAUUUCGGGGUUAGUAAGUUGGUCAUGCCAUUGGUAUGCACUGGCUUUACUGAUUCCUCCUUCUUGACGAACCGUGAUGUCAUUAAUUUGGUGUUGCGGGAAAUCAGGACUGUUACUUUGAAAAAUUAGAGUGUUUAAAGCAGGCUAACGUCUGAAUACAUUAGCAUGGAAUAAUAAAAUAGGACGGUGGUCCUGUUUUGUUGGUUUCUGAAUCACCGUAAUGAUUAAUAGGGAUAGUUGGG
Molecule: ribosomal RNA, 420 nt
Filed under: uncultured Glomeraceae
Lineage: Eukaryota; Fungi; Glomeromycota; Glomeromycetes; Glomerales; Glomeraceae
Description: SSU rRNA
Rfam family: Eukaryotic small subunit ribosomal RNA
Source: RNAcentral